This 1436-nucleotide ribosomal RNA is filed under the name uncultured prokaryote. RNAcentral describes it as "partial 16S ribosomal RNA". It matches the Rfam family "Bacterial small subunit ribosomal RNA". The record is from RNAcentral.
GAUGAACGCUAGCGGCAGGCCUAACACAUGCAAGUCGAGGGGUAUAUCAUUUCGGUGGUGACGACCGGCGCACGGGUGCGUAACGCGUAUGCAACCUACCCUUUACUGAGGGAUAGCCCGAAGAAAUUCGGAUUAAUGCCCCAUAGUAUUAUUUGAUGGCAUCAUUAGAUAAUUAAAGUCCCAACGGUACAAGAUGAGCAUGCGUCCCAUUAGUUAGUUGGUAAGGUAACGGCUUACCAAGACUAUGAUGGGUAGGGGUCCUGAGAGGGAGAUCCCCCACACUGGUACUGAGACACGGACCAGACUCCUACGGGAGGCAGCAGUGAGGAAUAUUGGACAAUGGGCGCAAGCCUGAUCCAGCCAUGCCGCGUGCAGGAAGACUGCCCUAUGGGUUGUAAACUGCUUUUAUACAGGAAGAAACACCUCUACGUGUAGAGGCUUGACGGUACUGUAAGAAUAAGGAUCGGCUAACUCCGUGCCAGCAGCCGCGGUAAUACGGAGGAUCCAAGCGUUAUCCGGAAUCAUUGGGUUUAAAGGGUCCGUAGGUGGAUAAUUAAGUCAGAGGUGAAAUCCUGCAGCUCAACUGUAGAAUUGCCUUUGAUACUGGUUAUCUUGAGUUAUUAUGAAGUAGUUAGAAUAUGUAGUGUAGCGGUGAAAUGCAUAGAUAUUACAUAGAAUACCAAUUGCGAAGGCAGAUUACUAAUAAUAUACUGACACUGAUGGACGAAAGCGUGGGGAGCGAACAGGAUUAGAUACCCUGGUAGUCCACGCCGUAAACGAUGGAUACUAGCUGUUCGGAUUUAUCUGAGUGGCUAAGCGAAAGUGAUAAGUAUCCCACCUGGGGAGUACGUUCGCAAGAAUGAAACUCAAAGGAAUUGACGGGGGCCCGCACAAGCGGUGGAGCAUGUGGUUUAAUUCGAUGAUACGCGGGGAACCUUACCAGGGCUUAAAUGUAGAUUGACAGGUUUAGAGAUAGACUUUUCUUCGGACAAUUUACAAGGUGCUGCAUGGUUGUCGUCAGCACGUGCUGUGAGGUGUCGCGUUAAGUCCCAUAACGAGCGCAACCCCUAUCGUUAGUUGCCAGCGAGUCAAGUCGGGGACUCUAACGAGACUGCCGGUGUAAACCGCGAGGAAGGUGGGGAUGACGUCAAAUCAGCACGGCCCUUACGUCCAGGGCUACACACGUGUUACAAUGGCCGAUACAAAGGGCAGCUACCAGGUGACUGGAUGCUAAUCUCUAAAGUCGGUCUUAGUUCGGAUCGAAGUCUGCAACUCGACUUCGUGAAGCUGGAUUCGCUAGUAAUCGUAGAUCAGCAACGCUACGGUGAAUACGUUCCCGGGCCUUGUACACACCGCCCGUCAAGCCAUGGAAGCUGGGGGUACCUGAAGUCUGUCACCGCAAGGAGCGGCCUAGGGUAAAACUGGUAACUGGUGUU